UCCCUGGUGGCUCAGUGGUAAAGCAUCUGCCUACCAAGCAGGAGACAUGGGUACGAGCCCACUCCAGGAAG
This 71-nucleotide transfer RNA is filed under the name Bos taurus (domestic cattle). It matches the Rfam family "tRNA". From Rfam's summary of the family: Transfer RNA (tRNA) molecules are approximately 80 nucleotides in length. Their secondary structure includes four short double-helical elements and three loops (D, anti-codon, and T loops). Further hydrogen bonds mediate the characteristic L-shaped molecular structure. tRNAs have two regions of fundamental functional importance: the anti-codon, which is responsible for specific mRNA codon recognition, and the 3' end, to which the tRNAs corresponding amino acid is attached (by aminoacyl-tRNA synthetases). tRNAs cope with the degeneracy of the genetic code in two manners: having more than one tRNA (with a specific anti-codon) for a particular amino acid; and 'wobble' base-pairing, i.e. permitting non-standard base-pairing at the 3rd anti-codon position. RNAcentral also lists the same sequence under 2 other names. Lineage: Eukaryota; Metazoa; Chordata; Mammalia; Artiodactyla; Bovidae. The record is from Rfam by way of RNAcentral.